This 65-nucleotide transfer RNA is filed under the name Diplostomum spathaceum. RNAcentral describes it as "tRNA-Phe". The record is from RNAcentral. Lineage: Eukaryota; Metazoa; Platyhelminthes; Trematoda; Diplostomida; Diplostomidae.
ACUCUCUUAGCUUAAAUUUAAAGUGUUAGUUUGAAGGGCUAAAGAUAUUUUUAUAGUAGUGAGUA